UCCGUAGGGUGCGAGCGUUAAUCGGAAUUACUGGGCGUAAAGCGUGCGCAGGCGGUUGUGCAAGACAGAGGUGAAAUCCCCGAGCUCAACUUGGGAACUGCCUUUGUGACUGCAUAGCUAGAGUGUGUCAGAGGGGGGUAGAAUUCCACGUGUAGCAGUGAAAUGCGUAGAUAUGUGGAGGAAUACCGAUGGCGAAGGCAGCCCCCUGGGAUAACACUGACGCUCAUGCACGAAAGCGUGGGGAGCAAACAGG
RNAcentral lists this ribosomal RNA (253 nucleotides) under uncultured bacterium. Its description in RNAcentral is "partial 16S ribosomal RNA". It matches the Rfam family "Bacterial small subunit ribosomal RNA", at positions 524 to 776 of the family's 1533-position model. The record is from RNAcentral.